GAUGAACGCUGGCGGCGUGCCUAAUACAUGCAAGUCGAACGAACAGACGAGGAUGCUUCCACCUUGCCGGUAGCGGCGGACGGGGGAGUAAAAAGUGGAUCACCCUCCCAUAAGACUGGGAUUAACACGUGAAAACGGAGCCAAUAACGGAAAAUAUAUUAAACUGGAUUGACAAAUAGUUAAAGAGGGCUUUGCCGUCACUUAUAGAUGGAUCCGCGCUGCAUUAGCUAGUUGGUAGGGUAACGGCUUACCAAGGCAACGAUGCGUAGCCGACCUGAGAGAGUGAUCGGCCACACUGGAACUGAGACACGGUCCAGACUCCUACGGGAGGCAGCAGUAGGGAAUCUUCCGCAAUGGGCGAAAGCCUGACGGAGCAACGCCGCGUGAGUGAUGAAGGUUUUCGGGUCGUAAAGCUCUGUUAUAAGGGAAGAACAGAUGUAUAAGUAACUAUGCACGGCUUGACGGUACCUAAUCAGAAAGCCACGGCUAACUACGUG
This 497-nucleotide ribosomal RNA is filed under the name uncultured bacterium. RNAcentral's name for it is "partial 16S ribosomal RNA". It matches the Rfam family "Bacterial small subunit ribosomal RNA", at positions 28 to 507 of the family's 1533-position model. The record is from RNAcentral.